UACGGAGGGGGCUAGCGUUGUUCGGAAUUACUGGGCGUAAAGCGCACGUAGGCGGCUUUGUAAGUUAGGGGUGAAAGCCCGGAGCUCAACUCCGGAACUGCCCUUAAGACUGCAUCGCUUGAAUCAUGGAGAGGUUAGUGGAAUUCCGAGUGUAGAGGUGAAAUUCGUAGAUAUUCGGAAGAACACCAGUGGCGAAGGCGACUAACUGGACAUGUAUUGACGCUGAGGUGCGAAAGCGUGGGGAGCAAACAGG
RNAcentral lists this ribosomal RNA (253 nucleotides) under uncultured Sphingomonas sp. RNAcentral describes it as "partial 16S ribosomal RNA". It matches the Rfam family "Bacterial small subunit ribosomal RNA", at positions 524 to 776 of the family's 1533-position model. The record is from RNAcentral. Lineage: Bacteria; Pseudomonadati; Pseudomonadota; Alphaproteobacteria; Sphingomonadales; Sphingomonadaceae.